ACGCACUAUUUGAAGUAGUUGCCUAAUUCAAAAUUUGCUGACCUCCCCAAAAAGACAAAGCCUUCGUGCUUAUGUCAUCUCGGCAUCUGACUAGUGACUACCCCUUUUCCCCUGGGUGAAAGCAGAUCUCCUCCAAAGUUGUGAAAGUGUUGAAAGGUGGUUGUGCUAAAUCCAAAGUUAAGGACUGAAAGGAUCUGGCAGGUGGAUUGGCUAUUAAAGUGGGGAAGAUAAGAGAGGCAGAUGUGGAUAAUCUGUUCCACCUGUGUUAACUUUUCCUACCUGGGAAGUACACGCGACCACACGCUCACACUGGAGAAGUCAUUUCUAGGUAAAUCCCUCAGACAUGACUAACGAACUGAAGUAAACAAGCAUUGUUUAUAAGGCAUUCAUCACUAACCAAAAGACACACUCCUGCAGGCUGAAACCCAAUGCUUACUCAAGCCCUGGCGUCCCACGAGGCUUGCAACAUAGCGGCUAAUAAUUUAAGCAGUCAACGGUUUAAAAUGAUAAAGCCUUGUGACAAAACCGGUCACCAAGAUUGAGACAAAGUUUGCAACUGAGCCUGUAAGACUACAAAUCUGGCUCCCGGCACCUCAUGUGUCCUGUCCAGGCAUCCACAUUCACCAGCUAACAGAUGAGAGAUGGACAUCACUGAAAUGUGCAAGGGAGAGAAAUAAGGUCAGUAUAUAAGCCACGCGCUGACUGAUGUCCAAUGAAUUAUUGAGGGCCGACACUGCUAGCGGAGUCACCGAUCCUAUACGUUAAUGUUCUGUACAGCCAUAUGUGCAAUUACCGGACAAUUAUUCAAAUCCAUGGCAAAGGUACAAGACAAAUAUUCCCCAAAUGAAUAGAAAAUAAACCAUUAGGAACUCAGCAGCUUUCAUUGUUGCCGUCACAGUUAAGCUUAACUUUCCCUUCUAUCUGUGAAUUCCAUUUAAAUGAAUCUUAAUAACCAUUGAACUUCACUGCGACCCAAAGGGGUUUGAGAGAGCAGGGAAAACAAAGUCUAACUUUAGGCAAUUAUGAUUUGUGUACUGUACGUCCCACGUCAUACAUUACUGAUGGGAUAUGUUUCAAGAUUUUCGUCAAUUGCUGUGUGUAGCAUGUGGUAUUAUUUAUACACUGUUCAUAGUAAAAUUCCACAGAAGCUACCACUGCUGUGUAACAAAAGAAUGUCAAAGUAAUAGUCAGUGUAAUGGUCAUGUCUUCUGGCACGUAAUGUUGGUGGGUGUUUGAGCCAAAGAGAAGUACAGACAACAAAUUCCUCAUUUCUAUGAAUUAAUCACAUUUCUCUUGGUAGCCACCA
Long non-coding RNA from Misgurnus anguillicaudatus (oriental weatherfish), 1306 nucleotides. RefSeq lists it as uncharacterized. The record is from RefSeq and is a predicted model, not a curated record. Lineage: Eukaryota; Metazoa; Chordata; Actinopteri; Cypriniformes; Cobitidae.